Molecule: long non-coding RNA, 597 nt
Organism: Scylla paramamosain (green mud crab)
Lineage: Eukaryota; Metazoa; Arthropoda; Malacostraca; Decapoda; Portunidae
Exons: 3
Source: RefSeq, a predicted model, not a curated record
CUCCUCUUCUCCAGCGUGAACUCUGCAACACAGGAGCAUGCAGGGUGGCGAGUACUGAGAACAACGACAGCCUUCUUUACUGCCGUCAAUCCGGAAGUGACUGGUACUUGCCAAGGAAGCGUGGGUGUCACCAUCGCUCCGCUGCACCAAAUCUCUCAUGACUCAAGGUAAUAAGAUACGAGAGAAGGUGUAACGGAAGGCGGUUCUCACAGGAAGCUUGGAAAUCAAUAAGAAAACCACCAUAAGAAGAUGCGAGAGAAGGUUUAGCAGAAUGUGGUUCUUACAGGAAGUUCAAAAGUUAGUAGCAAAGCAAUGACAAGCAAACACGGUAAUAAAAUACAUGAGGGUUGGUACAGAUUUAUGGAUUUUACAGGAAGCUUGAAAGUCCUAAAGAAAAUAUUGAGUGUCAGACAAAAACGAUAACAAGAUGCGAGAAAAGACUUAAUAGAAGGAGACGUUGCAGGAAACUCAAUAACAAAACAACGACAAGCAAACACGGAAUCAAAAUGCGAGAGAAGGUUUAACUGAAGGUGGCGUUUGCAGGAAGUUUGAAGGUCACUAACAAAAUUACGGUAACAAGAUGCGAGAGAAGGUUUA